This 780-nucleotide long non-coding RNA is filed under the name Brachypodium distachyon (stiff brome). RNAcentral describes it as "long non-coding RNA (BDIS_LNC004802)". Lineage: Eukaryota; Viridiplantae; Streptophyta; Magnoliopsida; Poales; Poaceae. The record is from RNAcentral.
UGCACCUUGAGAACCUUUAAACCAAAGAUUGAAAAUUUAAAAUCUUUAAUUAAGGCUUUUACCUUUUAAUCUUACUUUGCAUCUUUUUGGAAUUUUCCAACCCAUGGGGUUUUUGACAAUAGAAAAGGGUUUAUUGCAAUAAGAUAAGCUACCCCAUAAUUUUUGGUAUUUAAUUUGGAGUUGAAAAACUAUUUUGUAUUUAAAUAAUAUUGCACUAGAGGCAAUUAUAUAAGCCAAACUAUUUUGAAUAAUUUACAUUUGGAAGAAAUCAAGUCCCAGAUGCUAUAGCAUUUGAGGAUAUGAUUUUACAAAUUUUCUAGAAUUUAUUUGAGUCCAUUUGGAGUUGAAAAUCAAAAGUUAUAAAGGAAAAACAGAAAAAGAAAAGGAGAAACAAAAAGAACAAAAAAAAAGGAAACGGACCGGCCCGGCCGAAUGGGCCAAACCGGCCCAGCCAGCCCGCUAGCGCCCUGCGCGCCCGAGCUAAGCCACUGACAGGUGGAUAAGAGCAGAAUCUAGCCUAAACGCACCUUAAUGGCUGAGCUUUCAAGACGCGAUUUAGGGCGCCAUGAAGCCCCAUCUUAACUGCCCCGCACGCCACUAUAAACCUGCUAGCCCCCUCUCCAUUUCCCUGCUCACUCUCACUCCACCUCGGCGCUCACGCCGCCGAAAUUUCUCACCGAACAUGCCGCUGUCGCCGCCGGUCUUGGGGUCGCUGUUGUGACACUGGUGAGCAAUAGACCCGGAGCCCGACUUUUUCCUCUCUCUCUCGUCCUUGCGCAC